RNAcentral lists this ribosomal RNA (253 nucleotides) under uncultured bacterium. Its description in RNAcentral is "partial 16S ribosomal RNA". It matches the Rfam family "Bacterial small subunit ribosomal RNA", at positions 524 to 776 of the family's 1533-position model. The record is from RNAcentral.
UACGCAGGGGGCUAUCGUUGUUCGGAAUCACUGGGCGUAAAGCGCACGUAGGCGGACCUUGAAGUCAGGGGUGAAAGCCUGGAGCUCAACUCCAGAACUGCCUUUGAUACUGGAGGUCUCGAGUGUGGAAGAGGUUGGUGGAACUGCGAGUGUAGAGGUGAAAUUCGUAGAUAUUCGCAAGAACACCAGGGGCGAAGGCGGCCAACUGGUCCAUUACUGACGCUGCGGUGCGAAAGCGUGGGGAGUAAACAGG